UACGUAGGGCGCAAGCGUUAUCCGGAAUUAUUGGGCGUAAAGAGCUCGUAGGCGGUUUGUCGCGUCUGCCGUGAAAGUCCGGGGCUCAACUCCCGGAUCUGCGGUGGGUACGGGCAGACUAGAGUGAUGGUAGGGGAGACUGGAAUUCCUGGUGUAGCGGUGAAAUGCGCAGAGUAUCAGAAGGAACACCAGGUGGCGGAAGGCGGCUAAUCUGGCCCAAUACUGACACUGAGGUGCGAAAGCGUGGGAGUCAAACCAGG
This 260-nucleotide ribosomal RNA is filed under the name uncultured bacterium. RNAcentral's name for it is "partial 16S ribosomal RNA". It matches the Rfam family "Bacterial small subunit ribosomal RNA", at positions 524 to 777 of the family's 1533-position model. The record is from RNAcentral.